Molecule: ribosomal RNA, 261 nt
Filed under: uncultured Sneathia sp.
Lineage: Bacteria; Fusobacteriati; Fusobacteriota; Fusobacteriia; Fusobacteriales; Leptotrichiaceae
Description: partial 16S ribosomal RNA
Rfam family: Bacterial small subunit ribosomal RNA
Source: RNAcentral
UGGCGGACGGGUGAGUAACGUGUAAAGAACUUACCAUAUAGACUGGGAUAACAGAGGGAAACUUCUGAUAAUACUGGAUAAGUUAGUAGUAGCAUUACUAAGUAAUGAAAGGUAGCAAUACGCUAUAUGAGAGCUUUGCAUCCUAUUAGCUAGUUGGUGGGGUAAAAGCCUACCAAGGCGAUGAUAGGUAGCCGGCCUGAGAGGGUGGACGGCCACAAGGGUACUGAGAUACGGCCCUUACUCCUACGGGAGGCAGCAGCC